RNAcentral lists this signal recognition particle RNA (99 nucleotides) under Bacteroidales bacterium. RNAcentral's name for it is "signal recognition particle sRNA small type". It matches the Rfam family "Bacterial small signal recognition particle RNA". From Rfam's summary of the family: The signal recognition particle (SRP) is a universally conserved ribonucleoprotein involved in the co-translational targeting of proteins to membranes. Archaeal SRP consists of a 7S RNA and homologues of the eukaryotic SRP19 and SRP54 proteins. The record is from RNAcentral. Lineage: Bacteria; Pseudomonadati; Bacteroidota; Bacteroidia; Bacteroidales.
GUCCAGGAGCCCAACAAUACUGCCCAGUGAACUUUGUCAGGACCGAAAGGUAGCAGCAAUAAGCAGGGAUGUGUAUGGGUUUGGGAUUUCCUGGGCCUU